ACAUCCCCUUCUCAUUGUUCUUUAGCAACCAUCAAAGGGUGCAGCCUGUACCGUUCCCUGCUCGCGGCCUGACAUCCGUUCUCAUUCCCUGCUUCUGUGUCCUGGAGUCUCCCAUCAGAAGUCUCUCACUUCCCACCCGACCUCCCCGUGACCGAUCAAUCCCCAGCCAUCGUUCUCCUGAAGUGGGUUCUCCAUAAAUGCCUUCUGAGUGAACAAAAACUCCUGUCGUUAUUCACUAUCUUACAAGCCCUUUAAAAGAAUGCCACCAACUCCCCUCCUGUCCUGGCCUCAUCAGGAGACACGCAGCCCCACUAUACAGGGCAGGUCAACCAGAAACAGAGCUGUAAAAUCCAGGCAGCCCAGUUCAUCGAGCCACAAAAGCAGCGAACCUUGUUUUUCCUUCCAGCCUCAUAACCCCACCAGCAAGACAGACCACCUUUAACUAGGUCAACCCAAUUUCCCAGUCCUCACUCUGCUCUCACCCCCUUUAUUAUCAUGGUUCUCGGUUGGAGGCACAACAUUUACUGUGCUGAUUUAUGUCUGGAAAAAAAAAAUGGAAAGUUUCAUCAACUCUUGACCGAACUGAACGAGACCUUCCUGUAUGGAAAAGC
Molecule: long non-coding RNA, 611 nt
Filed under: Marmota monax (woodchuck)
Lineage: Eukaryota; Metazoa; Chordata; Mammalia; Rodentia; Sciuridae
Source: RNAcentral